Molecule: ribosomal RNA, 507 nt
Filed under: Staphylococcus sp.
Lineage: Bacteria; Bacillati; Bacillota; Bacilli; Caryophanales; Staphylococcaceae
Description: bacterial SSU rRNA
Rfam family: Bacterial small subunit ribosomal RNA
Source: RNAcentral
UAACUCUCGGGAAACCGGAGCUAAUACCGGAUAAUAUAUUGAACCGCAUGGUUCAAUAGUGAAAGACGGUUUUGCUGUCACUUAUAGAUGGAUCCGCGCCGCAUUAGCUAGUUGGUAAGGUAACGGCUUACCAAGGCAACGAUGCGUAGCCGACCUGAGAGGGUGAUCGGCCACACUGGAACUGAGACACGGUCCAGACUCCUACGGGAGGCAGCAGUAGGGAAUCUUCCGCAAUGGGCGAAAGCCUGACGGAGCAACGCCGCGUGAGUGAUGAAGGUCUUCGGAUCGUAAAACUCUGUUAUUAGGGAAGAACAAAUGUGUAAGUAACUAUGCACGUCUUGACGGUACCUAAUCAGAAAGCCACGGCUAACUACGUGCCAGCAGCCGCGGUAAUACGUAGGUGGCAAGCGUUAUCCGGAAUUAUUGGGCGUAAAGCGCGCGUAGGCGGUUUUUUAAGUCUGAUGUGAAAGCCCACGGCUCAACCGUGGAGGGUCAUUGGAAACUGGA